Sorex araneus (European shrew) is the source of this 9926-nucleotide RNA transcript. It is a transcript of the gene named integrator complex subunit 6, with no coding region annotated. The record is from RefSeq and is a predicted model, not a curated record. The transcript has 24 exons. Lineage: Eukaryota; Metazoa; Chordata; Mammalia; Eulipotyphla; Soricidae.
GUGGUGACACCGCCGGGGUGCGGAGGGAGUCCCCGAAACUUCUCCCAACAGCCCCGGGGCCAAUCUCCCCUCAGCCCACUCCCCUCCUCGCCAGCUCCCAGGCCCCCACUCCCUGCGCCGGGGGUGGGGUGGGAGCCGGGCCCGUCUCCCGCUGGGACACACACAGGGGCCGGGAGCGGGGACGGGACCCCCGAGCGGGGGGGACGCGCCGACCGACCGACGGCCGGGCGCCCGCCCCAGCGGGCCGGCGGGCAGCGGCGGCGGAGGCGGGGGUACGCGGGGAGGACGGGCCCGGGAGUUUCCUCCCAACUACCGGGGGAGAAACUCCCCGCCCGGAGGGGAGGCCAGACGGUGUUUUCCUCUCGGGGGCCGCGCUCCCCCGCCCCGCGCCGCGGCGGUCGCCGCCGCCGUCGCCUCUUUCUCCGCCACCGCGGGCCCCGGUGUCCCCGGCCAGCACUAUGCCCAUCUUACUGUUCCUGAUAGACACGUCUGCCUCUAUGAACCAGCGCAGCCAUCUGGGCACCACCUACCUGGACACGGCCAAAGGCGCGGUAGAGACCUUCAUGAAGCUCCGCGCCCGGGACCCGGCGAGCCGCGGCGACAGGUACAUGCUGGUGACUUUCGAAGAGCCGCCCUAUGCCAUCAAGGCCGGAUGGAAAGAGAACCAUGCAACGUUUAUGAAUGAACUGAAAAACCUUCAGGCCGAAGGACUCACGACUCUUGGCCAAUCCCUAAGGACAGCUUUUGAUUUAUUAAAUUUAAAUAGAUUAGUAACUGGCAUAGACAACUAUGGGCAGGGGAGAAACCCUUUUUUCUUGGAACCAGCAAUAAUUAUUACAAUUACUGAUGGGAGCAAGUUGACUACGACCAGCGGAGUCCAGGAUGAGCUCCAUUUACCUCUUAAUUCUCCUUUGCCUGGAAGUGAAUUGACCAAGGAACCUUUUCGUUGGGAUCAGAGACUCUUUGCAUUAGUGUUGCGGUUGCCUGGCACCAUGUCAGUAGAAUCAGAACAGUUGACAGGUGUGCCUUUAGAUGACUCUGCAAUCACACCAAUGUGUGAAGUGACAGGCGGCCGCUCAUACUCUGUGUGCUCUCCAAGAAUGCUUAAUCAAUGCCUGGAGUCCUUGGUACAGAAAGUGCAAAGUGGGGUUGUGAUAAACUUUGAAAAAGCAGGACCAGACCCCUCUCCUGUGGAAGAUGGUCAACCAGAUAUAGCAAGGCCUUUUGGAUCUCAGCCUUGGCAUAGCUGUCACAAACUCAUCUAUGUCAGACCAAACCCGAAGACUGGGGUUCCCAUAGGGCACUGGCCUGUUCCGGAAUCCUUUUGGCCAGAUCAGAAUUCUCCAACACUACCACCUAGGACUUCUCAUCCUGUUGUGAAGUUCUCCUGUACUGACUGUGAGCCCAUGGUCAUUGACAAGCUGCCUUUUGACAAAUACGAAUUGGAACCUUCACCGUUGACUCAGUUCAUUCUGGAACGGAAGUCUCCUCAAACAUGUUGGCAGGUAUAUGUGAGCAAUAGUGCAAAAUAUAGCGAACUUGGUCAUCCAUUUGGUUACUUGAAAGCUAGUACAGCAUUGAAUUGUGUCAACUUAUUUGUGAUGCCUUAUAAUUACCCAGUCCUCCUUCCUCUUUUAGAUGACUUGUUUAAAGUACAUAAAGCAAAACCAACAUUGAAAUGGAGACAGUCAUUUGAAAGUUAUUUGAAGACAAUGCCUCCCUACUAUCUUGGGCCUUUGAAGAAAGCUGUCAGAAUGAUGGGAGCACCUAACCUAAUAGCAGACAGUAUGGAAUAUGGACUUAGUUACAGUGUCAUUUCAUACCUCAAAAAACUUAGUCAACAGGCCAAAAUAGAAUCUGAUCGAGUCAUUGGAUCUGUAGGCAAAAAAGUAGUACAGGAAACUGGAAUUAAAGUUCGAAGCCGAUCACAUGGUUUAUCAAUGGCAUAUAGGAAAGAUUUUCAACAGCUGCUUCAGGGAAUUUCAGAGGAUGUUCCUCAUAGACUGCUGGACCUAAACAUGAAAGAGUAUACUGGGUUCCAAGUUGCUUUGCUAAAUAAGGAUUUGAAGCCACAGACAUUUAGAAAUGCAUAUGAUAUACCAAGACGGAAUCUUUUGGAUCACUUAACAAGAAUGAGAUCUAAUCUUUUGAAGAGCACUCGCAAAUUUCUUAAAGGACAAGAUGAAGAUCAAGUGCACAGUGUUCCUAUCGCACAAAUGGGAAAUUACCAGGAAUACCUCAAGCAAGUACCUUCUCCACUGAGAGAACUUGACCCUGACCAGCCUCGAAGGUUGCAUACGUUUGGUAAUCCCUUUAAGCUAGAUAAGAAGGGUAUGAUGAUAGAUGAAGCAGAUGAAUUUGUGGCUGGACCUCAAAAUAAACAUAAACGACCUGGAGAACCAAAUAUGCAAGGAAUCCCUAAGAGACGCCGCUGUAUGUCUCCACUGCUACGGGGCAGGCAACAGACUCCAGUUGUGAACAACCAUAUUGGGGGGAAAGGACCCCCUCUACCUACGACGCAAGCACAGCCGGAUCUUAUUAAACCCCUUUCUCAUCAGAAAACUUCAGAUGCCACUAAUGAUUUGACAAUAGAUGAUGUAAUUGAAAAUCAUGUUGCAGACCAACUCUCAUCAGAUAUUUCACAAAAUGCUAUGGAUACUGAGUUUUCAACAUCCUCUGCCAGUUUACUGGAACGACCAAACAAUCACACAGAGGCUCUUGGUCACGACCAUCUAGGAACUAAUGACCUCACUGUUGGUGGAUUUUUAGAAAAUCAUGAGGAGGCAAGAGAUAAAGAACAGUGUCCUGAAGAGAAUGUACCAACAUCUUCGCUCAGCAAGGGAAAGAAAUUAACACACUGCAGAAGCCAUGAAGAGGUCAACACUGAACUAAAAGCACAAAUAAUGAAAGAGAUCCGAAAGCCAGGAAGAAAAUACGAGAGGAUCUUCACUUUACUGAAGCAUGUGCAAGGCAGUUUACAAACAAGACUAAUAUUUUUACAAAAUGUUAUUAAAGAAGCAGCAAGAUUUAAAAAACGAAUGCUAAUAGAACAGCUGGAGAACUUCUUGGAUGAAAUUCAUCGAAGAGCCAAUCAGAUCAACCAUAUUAAUAGCAAUUAAAAGAGAACAGAAUGUGGCCACUUAUUUCACUAUCUUCUCCAAAUACAAAAUGAGAAAACUGAGUGUAAGAAACUUGCCCGAGAGGAUGUAAUGAGUACGUGGAGGAAGCCAAGGUUACCCAAGCUCCGAGCCUGUGUGUUGUCUGCACUGUGCUACUUCCCAUCUCGUGAGGCGUCUCACACAUAGUCACACCCGGCGAUACACAGGGGUUACUCCUGGCUCUGCACUCAGGAAUUACCCCUGGCGGUGCUCAGGGGACCAAAUGGGAUGCUGGGAUUCGAACCCAGAUCAGCCGCAUGCAAGGCAAACGCCCUACCUGCUGUGCUAUUGCUCCAGCCCCUAAAUAAUAAAUUUUAUGGUGUAUAAAUUGUAUCUCAUUUAAAAAAAAAAGAAAGAAAAUGCCCUUAGAAAUGAACAAACCAAACCUAAAGAUUGCUGCAGCUCCUGGAUGGGAGGGCGAAACUCCUUUAGGGUAUAAGAUCUUAUGUGUUUAAAAAUACACGGAUCAGUCCUGAUGAGAGGAAAAGGCUCAUGCUUAGCUUUUUGCUAUGCUGAUAUAAUAGCUAAGUGCCUUAUCUAUUAAAUAAAUACCAUUGAAUUCAUUGAAUUAAAUAAAUUUGUCAUUAUUGAUCUUUCUUGGGGUGCAUGAUAUCAUGAUGAAUUUGAUGGACCCUGUUAAUCUUUAAUGGUUUUCUUGAUUAUUCUUACAGUAUGUUAAUAUUCCUAGUGAAGAAUAAUAGUUUCUAUACAUUUUGUUUUCUUGUAAAUAAAAAUUUUAGACAUCAUACUUUGUGCAGAUUCUACUAAUGCACUACUGGUGUUGUUUGAUUCCAAGUUACCAUUCAUCACCACACAAGUUUUGCAUUGUUGUCCCCAGUAUAGAAACAAUUUUGUUCUUGAAACAUGAAAAUACAAAAUGUAGACUGAUUUCAGAGUCCUACUAAAUCAUCAAGCCAAAAAGAAUAGAAGUUUGGUCCUGCUCUAUCAUGAAUUUGUGCAACUAGAGGUAAAAUCUUGCCCCAAAGUUGAAUUAUAUUGACUAUGGCCCAACGUUUUGUACCCAAAUCUAGACAUCAAAUCAUUUCCUAAUUUAUUCUCUUAAAGAUAAAGCUAGUGCUUGUACUGGGUGCUUGUAUUGAGUUUCAAUUGUAAAAAAAAAAAAAAACAAAACCCUAUUUUCACCCAAACUUCUAUUCGUGACUUGAUCUUUGGGGAGGUUUUUUCAGGAGAUAAGAAUGUUUCUGUGACCUCUGCCUUCCCACCCUUUCCUUGUCUUCUGUUGUUUCUCAGUAUCUUUCCUGAAGGGUUUGUGAUUUCUAAGGGCAUAAUCACCCCCAGUGGGGAGCUUCGAGCAAAGCUGGGUGUUUCCCUGUGACAGUUUCUUACAUCAGCUCUACAGGAAAAGGCCAGCAAGAUUGUGGCCUGAAAGACUUCGGGCACUGCCCUGCACCAGGUUCAGUGCCUUUCCAGUUCUGACACUGAAAGCUCUUCCUUCCCAGAGCUGAUGUCAUUUAGGAAGAAAAAUUAAAGUCACUUUUGCUCCAUGACAGAGACCUGUUGACAUGUCUAGUCUUUGUGCUUGAAUUUGAGGUUCAAAUAUUUGGUUUGGAGAGGUGAGCUUGGAAUCCAGAUCAACUGUCCUGGCUCUGCUGGUUCCAACUUUAGACGUUAGCUCUUAAUCUACAGAGUCUCUGUGUCGGGGUCGUUUUUUCUUUCUUUUUUUUUAAUUCCAGUGCUUGGACUUAUAUUUAAACUCCUCAAGGAAACGCCACCAAGGACACUGGCUCAAAGCUGCGGAGAACCAAGCCCAGUCAAGGGGAUGCAGACAGUCCACGUGCCUGAAAGAAGCCCUCUGACUACACCGUCACUGUCAUACUAGUCUUCAGACCUACUAUAAAUUUUCUCUGAUGUUCAAUGUACUAGAGGAGAUAACCAUUAAAGUUCUAUGAGGAAUCCUUGGUAAAACAAGGAAAUUUCAAAUAGGUUUUGCUUUGAAAAUAUAAAAUCUAGGGGUGAUGAGAUAGUACAGAGGCCUUGCGUGGCACAUAACUGUGUUCAAUCUCCAGUACCACACAGGGUCCUCUAAGCAAUGGCCAGGAGUGAUCUCUGGCACAGGGCCUGGAAUAAGCCCUGAGCACAGUAAGUGUCAUCCACUCUGUCCCACCCCCACACAUAAAAAAGAGAAAAUGGACCCAAACUCUAGAUGACUCCCCUUGGUCUAACUGCUGGAAAUAUAUUACUGGCCAAGCUAGUCCGGCAGCUAAUGACAGGUGGCAAAAUCCCACCACCUGGAUUCUGAGCCAGGCCUGGCAAUUGCAUCUGGGCCCUUGGGCAAGACUGGUCAGCCUGGCUCUCAGUCUGGACGGUACUGGCAGGGACGUGGCCCAGUGGGGCACCCUGUCACAAGGCAGCCCUAGGAGCAGGUUCCCUGCACUUCCCAGGUAAGAAAUAUGAGCCCAGCAUCCCUUGCCAUGGCCAGUCUGUGGGCAGGGACUAGCUCUGUGCCCAAAGCAGGGAACCUAGUAGUCGAGGAAGAAACUAGAAACCAUACCAUUUUACUAACCAGUCACCACCUCCCCGCAAAGCAAACACGUUAAUGCUAAGGUCGCUCCUUCUAAUCCCGAGAGUCAGAGUCUUUCAGAGACUCAGCCCCUUGCUUGAAGGGGCAGAGGGGUGGGAUUUGGCUGCAUCCUUAGUGCCCGUUCAGUAACACCCUAGUGUUUGUAACUGGACAGUACCCAGGUGACGCUGUUGUUCUCUCCCCCUAAGGCUGGCUGCUCACUGGUCCCAGUGGACUGCUUUCCUGGGUGUGUGCCGCCCUGCCCCUCCAUGCCUGAUCGGGGCAUUGUGAUGGGAGUCACUGCAGCAUUUCUAAGUCCCCUGCAACCCACCUCGACCCUCCCCCGCCCCCCCCCAAAGUAGUAUAGCAAAAGCUACCUAAAAAGAUGCUGCACUUAAGUUUCUGUUUCCAAAUGCCUGGCAGGUCGAGCCCCUCUUUGUUAGGCUGACCAGCUGGAUCAGGAGGUUCUAGAGGCUCCACCAUUGCUCCAUUCUGCCCUUAGUUCCUAGAACUGGCCAGUAGCCUUGCUGGACCAAUUUGGCUCAGCAAGACUCACAUUCUCUGCCUUUGCCACCCAGAUUCCUAGAAUUAGCCACACUACCACUCACUUCCUGGGAUAUACUAAAAUUAUUUUAGGUACAUUUUAUUGUCCUUACUGGCUCGGUACCUUUUAUGGUUGAUCCAAAUUAUAUGUUUCUUUUAACUUAUUUUUGCUAUUUGGGCUAUACCCGGCAGUGCUCAGGUCGGACUUCUGGCUCUGUGCUCAGGGAUCACUCCUGGCAGGACUCAGGGAACAUAUGGGAUACCAGGGAUUGAACCCAGACGACUUCAUGCAGGGCAAACACAUUACCCACUGUACUGUCUUUCCAACCCCUCUUAUUAAUUUAAUGUGAUUGACUCUAACUUUUUUUAUUUGCUUUUUGGGUCACACCCAGCGAUGCUCAGGGGUUACUCCUGGCUCUGCACUCAGGAAUUACUCCUGGCGGUGCUUGGGGAACCAUAUGGGAUGCCGGGGAUCAAACUCGGGUCGGCCGCGUGCAAGGCAAAUGCCCUACCUGCUGUGCUAUCGCUCCGGCCCCGACUCUAACUAUUUUUUAUAUAAAACUUAUUUUCUCUCCAAAUUUGGGUGCGUGUCUCCUGCACGCCUCCUCCAAUGGCUCAUCUGUGGAAAGAAUGUUCCCUCCAGAAGCAGCCCUGAGCAUGUUUGAUGGGCCUCUCUCUCUGAAGGCCGUCGCUGGGUCAGGCUGACCAGUGGGUUCUCUUUCAAUGAACAGACUUCACUCUGCAUAAACCGCCUUGCCCUCCUGCUGAAUGCUUUAGGCACCACAUGGCUUGGACCCAGUGGGCCUGGGUUUGAGCAUCUUCUCUCCCUCAACCACUGUUGUGCCUUGUUGCUGGCAGAACCUUUGAUUUUUGCAACUGUUUGAGGUCUAGGCCUCUGAAUCCCAUGCUCUACCAGAAAGAGAACUGGGUACCCCUCCAGGGAAAACUUUUGCCUAUUUAUUUGUUUUUUUUACCUAUUUGCUCAGCUCUGCUUUGCUCCAGGAGCAGACCUUCAUGAAUUCCUCCCACAGUUUGCUUGUCAGUUCUUGCUUAACGGAUCCUGAGGCUCCAGGAGUUGUAUAGUUGUGUCUCUGAAUGGCAAAGCCAGGGGCCGCACGGUUGUUCCGGACAGAAAUCCUGGGCGUGAAGCUGAGCAGGCACAGCACUGGUCUUCUCUGCUGAAACAAAGGCCAGGAGAUCUCGGAGGACAGACACUGCGCUGGGCCCCCUGGCAGCAGGAGGAGCUGAGAUAGGAAAUGAGACAUUUUGAAGUAAAUGGAAAGGAUACUGUCAUAUGCUGGAGAGUGCAGAGAAAAGGGAGCCUCCCUCGGGUUCAAGGCAAAUGAUCCUAAUGUUUGCAUUUUAAUUCUGCAUCCACACACAUUGUUCUCAGUUUAAUUAUAAUGCAGAUCAUUUUCCCAUUUUACUUCUUACACAACAUUGGAUCUGGAACAUUCUAUUUUUGUAUCAUGUCUGAGAUUAUCGUAGAGCAGGGCUGCUGAGUUCUCGUCCUGGCUCUAUGGAGUCUGGGUGUGUGGCCCAAUGCCCACGUCUCAGUUUCUGCAAUGAUGAAAUGGAGACAUUGGCCUCUACCUGCUAGGAUUGCUAUGAGGCUGAGCUGAGCUCCUAAACUCUGAGUACUUCUAGUAAAUCGAUGAAAGAAGCACUCAGUGCAUGUUAAUAAUUCUGUCACCUUUAAUACCACCUGCAAUUGCAUACCAUGCAGAUGCUAUGAAGGUGCUAUAACUCACCAACUCAUCCCUGAAUAAUGCAUAGUUAGGGUGCCUGUGGGUCUUUUUUUUUUUUUUGCAAACAUGGGGCCAAAUUUUUUAUUGUAUGCAACAGUAUCUUCCUUGAAUUAUUUCCAGAGACUCUAAUUCCCAAGGAGCUGCAUAUCUGGUAUUUACUGGAUUCUUCUAUCACAGGGGGUUAAUCAUAGACCUGAGCUGAGCUCAGGGUGAUUUCUCUUGGGGGAGGGGCAGAGCUCAGAAUGAUUUCUCCUGUGGGGAGAAUAGUUACAUGGGAUAAAGCCUGUGGGGAUCCCCUAGAGUGGGGCAGCUCUGCAGAAUAACCUUGUGUGUUGGGUAUUUGUGUGUGUAGGGGGGGAUGCAAGUGGAGGGGGAGGGGUCAGAUUUGCUUGCUUCAGGGUAGGGUCUUCUUUUUUUCUGUAAUUGUUAAUUAUUUAAAAAAAAUUUUUAAUGAAUCACUAUGAGGUACAGUUACCGACUUACAAACUUUCGUGCUUAUGUUUCAGUCAUACAACGAUCAAAUACCCAUCCCUCCACCAGUGCCCAUUCUCCACCACCAAUGAUCCCAGUAUCCCUCCCACCAUCCCCUCCUGUCUCCCCUCCCCUCCUCCCCGCAUUGUGGCAGGGCAUUCAGGGUAGGGUCUUGAGGGAGGACUAACUUCUGCUACAGACAAGUGUCCGAGUGCCUCUCAGCGUGGCUUCUGAUGCUGUGGUCUCUGUCUUCACAGUCCUCUGCCACUAGCCCUCCUGAGCCCCGUGGUGCACUCUCACCUGUCAUCUGUCUGGAAGCCCAUUCAUUAACCUGGAUGGAGCGUCACUGGACUUCCUGAUGUUGGCUGCUUGCAGGCUGCUGUUGGCCACCAGGAGACCUGCUCCACAGCCUCGGGAGAGCAACAUUCCUGCAGGGACAAAAAAGGGAGUAGUCCAGUCUGGCCAGAAAUCGCUCAUGCUGACACUGAGAGACAGGUCCUCAUCAUGAUGAGACUAAAGGAACCAGCAUGAGAGGUGACAUACUUCUCCUCCGAGGUCUUGAGAGAGCCCUGCCACAGCUGUUUGGUUCCUCCAGAACUGAGUGCCUUGUUUUGGCCGCGAGCUUCUGAGAAAGCACUAAGGAAUGUGGGGUGCUCAUCAGGGAUGUGAGGGAGUGGCUGUGAACACAGCAACAAGAUAGUAAGGGACACUGGGUGCUACACUGACAGCCGUCUCGUGGGACUGUAUUAUGCUCCUGUAUCUUCAAAUGAGUGUCCCUAACCUGCCAGUGGAAUAAUGCAGCCCUUGCCUUGUGCUCACUUCUUGCAAGGAACACACUUGCUUCGCAGUGCCAGAGUGCACACCUGAAGCCAAGCUGCGGGACGCCCACAUUUCCCCACUGCAUCUAGAUGCUGUGUUCUUGGCAUAGCAUCAGCCCUCACAGCAGGAGUUCAAGAGUACUUGAUAAAUUGCUUCAUGCAAAUUGAAUAUGCACUAUUCGUGAUAGUCCAAAUGUGGAAGCAACCAGAUGUCCAACAGAUGACUGGAUAAAGAAACUUUGGCACAUAUACAUAAUGGAAUAUUCCUCGGCGAUAAGACAAAAUCACACAAUUUGCUGCCACGUGGAUGGACCUGGAGAGAAUCAUGCUGAGUGAAGUCAACCAGAAGGAGAGGGACAGUUGCAGAAUGUUCUCCUGAGUGAAUAUAAAGAAGCCAAGUAAGGAAAUACCAAAAGACCAAAGGCAGGAGCCUGGGAAAGGUCUACAGAAUUGAGCUUACCAUGGCAGGGAGACUUGGGUGCCCUGAGACAGUGGUGGCGGGAAGCGGACACUCUGGUAUUGGAAACUUGCAUCCAGGAAACCCUAUCAUAAUAGUAUUGUGAAUCAUAGUGACUCAAAUAAAAUUCAAACAAAAAAGUAUGUUGGUCUUUUGCUGUAUCUGGAGAGAGAACACAGUUGUGUGUUAGUGGAAAGGCUCUGCAGUGUU